AAAAAUUCCAGAAUGGAUUGUGAUUUGAGGGAAUACGGCCAUGACUGGUAGACUUUUCGUCGCAGCGAUUAUACUUUAUAUUGACCACGCAAGUGGCCGCUUUAACAAUGAAAAUAAAUGUUUUCAAUAAUGGAAGGCAGUCGGGAGGAGAGAAGGCCCAUGGAGUUGAUGGAAGAAUCCUUUAAUUCAUGGCCACUUGCUCAGCUGGGCCAGGGGUGCUUUAAUUAGGUCAGGUGGAAAUGGCCGACAGAUCUCAACUUCAUAAAAGGAGGAAAUCGCCAUCACCCGAUCUGGUUGCUUUCUCUUCCUUAGCUCCGUCUAAUCCAGACGGUCUCUGCGUCCAUGAAUCCACCACAGACUACCCAGUAAAUAUACAUUUUUAUGGUUAAAUUUAA
This is a long non-coding RNA of Oncorhynchus tshawytscha (Chinook salmon), 395 nucleotides long. RefSeq lists it as uncharacterized. NCBI's taxonomy places the organism in Eukaryota, Metazoa, Chordata, Actinopteri, Salmoniformes, Salmonidae. The record is from RefSeq and is a predicted model, not a curated record. The transcript is spliced from 2 exons.